Molecule: ribosomal RNA, 253 nt
Filed under: uncultured bacterium
Lineage: Bacteria
Description: partial 16S ribosomal RNA
Rfam family: Bacterial small subunit ribosomal RNA
Source: RNAcentral
UACGUAGGGGGCAAGCGUUGUCCGGAAUCAUUGGGCGUAAAGCGCGUGUAGGCGGCCCGGUAAGUCCGCUGUGAAAGUCCAGGGCUCAACCCUGGGAUGCCGGUGGAUACUGUCGGGCUCGAGUCCGGAAGAGGAGUGUGGAAUUCCUGGUGUAGCGGUGAAAUGCGCAGAUAUCAGGAGGAACACCAAUGGCGAAGGCGACUACCUGGCCUGUUCUUGACGCUGAGGCGCGAAAGCUAGGGGAGCAAACGGG